This is a long non-coding RNA of Helianthus annuus (common sunflower), 315 nucleotides long. RefSeq lists it as uncharacterized. Lineage: Eukaryota; Viridiplantae; Streptophyta; Magnoliopsida; Asterales; Asteraceae. The record is from RefSeq and is a predicted model, not a curated record. The transcript is spliced from 4 exons.
GUUGUGGUUUACCGGAGAGUUGAGACGCCUCGUCGGCGGUAAGCAAGGCGGCGAAGCCAUUGAUGCUAUGCUUAUAGCUAUAAAGGAGGGAUGAUCUUGCUCCCUCUUCAAACUUUUUGAUUGAAAAUAGGAUAAGAGAAAACUGAAGCUCUCUCUGUCCCACUUUCAAAAGAAAAUUUGGGGAUACGUGGUUUGCCUUGAUCGUGAUGAUGAUGAUGAUUGUUCUACGGUUGUUUCCAGUGUCAUUGUUUCAAUAUCGUUUAAGUCUAAUCACAGUUGUUUGAAAUUCAUACAAUCUGCUGCGAGUUAUUAUAG